RNAcentral lists this long non-coding RNA (27775 nucleotides) under Triticum aestivum (bread wheat). RNAcentral describes it as "long non-coding RNA (TAES_LNC007450)". The record is from RNAcentral. Lineage: Eukaryota; Viridiplantae; Streptophyta; Magnoliopsida; Poales; Poaceae.
CAGAAUCAUGCAAACCUUUACUCAAAUUUGGAGGGCAGGAAAGCUACCUGAACAAUUGGCUGGUGAUUUUUUGAGGUAUUUUCUUGAUCCCAUUCAUGAAAUCCUUUAUGAUUUGCUUUGACUUCCUCUGAAAUUUUACCUGACAAAACAGCUCUAUCAAUUCGCUGAGUUAUAUCUUCAUACAUCUCCUGCCCAAAAAUGAAAAAAAAAGUCAGUUGUCAUGCCAAAUGCUGAGCACUAGGGGUAGACUGCGCUUAACAUUAAGCAUCUUAUCUAGUCACAUGUGUGUGUCAUGCCGUUCCCUGUGUAAUAGCCAUUUGAUUACAUGUGUUAAAGAAAAUAUGUUUGGAAAAUCUGCUUACCCUGAUAAGUGACCAUUCCUUUGGGCUGCACAAAUCUUGAUGCCCAUCUGACUCUGAGAAGUAAGCGGCUGGUGACCUUGGCUCAAUGUUAUAUCUCUUGCAGAAUGGUAUCCAAUGCUUUGCAAAUAAGGAGGCCUCCCACAGAGCAUAGAAAGUGAGAAUCGAACCUCCGUCGUCAGAAAGGUACACACUAAUUUUUUCGGCUGGGUAAUUGUAUGCCAUGAGCGAUAGGAUGGUGGAGAUGACAAGACUUGGUGGCUCUGAGUGUGGAUCUGCGGUGCAUACAAAGAUAUCCACAUAAGGUAGCCUCUCUCCAUACCUUCUCCAAAUGACAUAGUAACUGUGUUAAUGCUCAGUGCGGGAAAUACAUGUUUUAAAGCAGUAGAACCUUACACUUGACACUCUUAUAAACCUUCAAAACAAGUCCCUACUUUGGAUCUUGUUUUGGCAGAAAUGAGUCUGAAGUACUCACUCCCUGGUUUAUGGGUUGAGCGUUUAAGGGUGUCUCGAAAUCUAAACAGAUGACGGAGAUGGACCCUUUAAACCGCAAAAAUAAUAAUAUUGAUAUAGGUCCCUUACACCCAUGUGUCUUGAAAUCUAAACAGAUGAUGGAGAUGGACCCUUUAAACCGCAAAAAUAGUAAUAUUGAUAAGCCCUUUAAACCACCACUUUUUUUUUCUUGAGAUAAGCCCUUUAAACCGGAAAGGAGGGAGUAUCUACCUUCUUUUCUAUAGAAAAGGCCUCUCAGUCUAGCUUAUUAAUUUACCUUCUAAGUUAGUGAUCUCUGAUCAUCAAUGUAAGCCCUGUGGCGGUGGCAGAACUAUAAACCUGUGAUGUCAACUAUAAUUACUCCCCAAAUCUUAUAGUAUUUCUGAAUUUAUCCAUGAAAUUUUACUUGUACAUUUAGACGGUUUUGAUCAAAAGCUGUGUAGUCAGUUGACUACACAACCAUAGUGUGGCUUAACCCUUUGUACAGCUGACAACGGUGUAAAACUGCCUCCUAGGAGGAUGUAAAUUCCCUAUCUUUCCAAUGCAAUGAGACGCAAAGGCCAUUUGCGUUUUCUCGAAAAAAGCAUCAAACUUUUGUCUAAUUUGUUAACAGAAAGACAGUUCUGUUAUCUGGCCCGCGUAGCUUUAAAGCUAGCCUAAUGUAGAUUCUCAGUGCACUUAGUGUUGUGUGGUCUGAAACUCAUAGGCUACCAUCUCGUUGAAGUACAACAUAUUAAGAAAUAAGAAUAACGCAGAAGAUAACUAAAUUUAAACUGCAAAAAUAUCUUACAUUAAGCUCAUACUAUGCAAAACACCCGUUAGAAAUUGCCCGCUGUGUUUUGUUAAAUCUGGUACAUUUCUUUUCUUGAAUAUAUGAUUCAUUAUUGUGAGUUUUGACACUGGUCUCGUGUACCUAACUGACUUCAAGAGCUUCAAGAAAAUCAGCCAACAUGCUGAAAUAUGCGGCAUGUUCAUAGCACCUAUAGCAGACAGCCCGGACAUGGCGCAGACAUGAGAGAAGAAAAAAUGUCAUCCAACCGGACCCCAUAAAUUGACUCGUAUAUCUAGACAGUCAUCGAAUCCUCAAACUUAACCCAUAUAUGAGAGAAUAUGAGGGUGUCCAGUUGUCUAGGCAGUCCGCCAAUCAUAUGGAUUAGACCAACUCCAUCCGAACAAUUUGAGGGACAUAUUGCGUGCGCGGAUAAAAUGUGGGUUCAAAAUAAACACGUCCGGACACUAUCCGAACACGUCCGCGAGCGUAAGAAAGGGGCAGAUUUGACCAUUGUGGUUGUAUAUGCUCUCAUCGUUUAUGCUCAAAAAAGCAAGUUCGCUGUUUACACUAUUGACCUGGUGAGUGGUGGCAAGGCAUGUAUGUCACAAACUCACAGUCCGGGCGGUGUACAGGCUAACAAAUAGUAGGCGUUACUGUCAGCUCCAUCACCAUCGCUGGACUAGUUUGGCUUUUAACAGUCUGUCUAUAUCAAAAAUAUACGCGUAUAAAAUCUGAAAUUUUGGAAGAAAAAAAACCAAGUUUUUGUCGUGACACAGCCGGAGCUUACAGCCCCCGGACGUCGUACUGACCUGGCGGCGAGCCUGUCCCUGUAGGGGCGGCGGCGGAGGGGGCUCCAGCGCACGGACUGCGUGACGGCCCAGUAGGCGGCGUACCAGAGCUCCGCCGCCAGCAUGCCCAGCCACGCCGCCUCCCUUCGCCGGCGGCCGGCACGCGCGUCGCCCGGUAGUAGAGCACCAGCAGUAUCCCGGCGGCCACCGUGACGGCGUGGUGCCUGUACACUGCCCGGCCCCCGUUCGUCUCCGUCUCGAACAGCCUCCUGGUCCUCUCCAUCUUCCAGUCUCGCCUGUCGCUCUCUCAGUCUUUUGUCAACUCCUGUAGAUGAUGGACAGGAGCACACGCAUGUAGUGAGGGCCCUGUUCGGGAGGAUCUGGAACUCCUAUAGUUGUUGUGGACAGCCGACCAGGUGGAGGCGUGGACCUCCCCACCCCUCACUCCACUGGUUUGGUUGACUGAAUUGCCCGUCCCACUGCCCACUCCACGCGCGCGCACACACACCCACCCACAUGGCCACACCCCGUGGCCCCGUAGGGCAUCUCCAACACGACUCAUCAAAUCACCUCGACCCGAUAGUUCAAACACUUUCGGACCUUUAAUGCGGACACAUAUUUUAGGUUGGACCUGUUCGGACAUCCGAAAUUCCAAUGCCGGCCCCAAAUUGGGGGUGGAAGAGUUUGAACAUUCGCUGCCUCGGCAUCUGACAACCUGGACCCACCUUUCCCAUGUCUAGAACCCUCAGCAUUGAUGCCGCUCUCACCGGCUCGUCGCCUACCUGCAUUCAAGCCUGGUCGGCGCGUCGCUCGAGAAGCCUACUUCAGCUUUAAAGUCAGUCAACCUCCCCUUUCAAACCCUAUCCUCACUCAGUCCUCCCCAUCUCCCAAAUCUGCUGCACAUCGUACCUGUAAGUGCAUCUAGUGCCACCCCUAAUUGGUUUUGGAGUAUUGACGACAAACCUGGUUGAGGGACUAAUGUGUUUGUGAGAAUUGCGGGAUAACACAGGUAGUAGUCCCUCAUUGAUUCGAUUUACCUACCGGAGAUGACCCCUAAAAAUGUGUGAAGACAUUGAAGACAAUGGUAGUCUGUGAAGAUAUUCAUAUUCAAGACUAUGACAUGAGAAGACAUUGAGUGAAGACUAUGGAACGCGAAGACUUAGUUGUUUCGUUGUUUCCUUUUCUUCUUUGUUGAGUCAUAGGAACCACCGCACUGUUAAGUGGGGUCCUAGUGAACAAAGUCAGAGUGACUAAAGUGAUGCUCAAACAAAUCCUAUGUCUUCGAGCGAAGACAAUGAGAGCAAAUCUUAUCCAGAGUCGGAUAAGUCAGCUUUACUUGUAGCCCAAGUCAAGCUGCCACGUGUGUUUGAAAUCUGACCGUUGCGACACGUGUCAGUUCCUUAGUGACCCAGGGUCAUUUCGGACAAAUCAGGUCGGGUUGCCCUGUGGCUAUAAAUAGCCCACCUCCUACACCAUAAAUUGGUGGCUGCUCAGAGUUAGAUACGGCUUUUGUCGUUUGAGAGCAACCCACCUCCGAAGCUUUUGAGAGAGAAUCCUUGCGAGGAUAAAGCCCAAACCACCCAGAGCCCAGAGUGUGUUUGGCAUCACUGAAGUCUUUUUGUCCGCGUGAUCUGAAGACUUGUUACACUUGAGGACUGUGAAUCCUCCAGCCGGUUAGGCGUCACGUUCUGAGCAUCCAAGAGUCAUUGUGUAUUGCCGGUGAACGAAGUCUGUGAAGGUUUGGAAGUCUACCUUGAAGACUUACCUAAGUGAUUGGGCGGGGACUAGGUGUCCUUAGCUCAAGGGGAAUAAGGUGAAGACACGGUCUUCUGAGUUGAAUCUCAGCCUCCCUAAUCAGACGUACAGUUGUCACAUCAACUGGAACUGGUCGAACAAACCACUGUCUCCCUGAAGCUACUUGUUCUAUCUCUCACUUCUCUUUACUUAUCGUUUGUCUUCGUGAAGUCUUUGCCUGAUUGCAUAAUCUGUUUGACUUCACAGUUUGACUACUUGUCCUGAUUGGCUUCAUACUAUCUUCCACCCUGAUCCUUACUACCUAGCUGCUAAUAGUCUUCGUGCUUUCACUUCAUUGAAUACUUGACUAUGGCUUGUCUAGUGUAGUCUACCUUUCGCUGCAUACGAAUAGUGUUGUUUCUCCUGUUUGUCUUCGAAACUCCCAUGUUUUGAAGACUUUCAUAAAAAUCGCCUAUUCACCCCCCUCUAGUCGAUAACUAGCAUUUUCAAUUGGUAUCAGAGUAAGGUACUCCCUUGUUCUGUGUGAUUCGGUUUAAUCACCUGAAGUUUUAGCUACAUCGACUGCAGGGAUAAUCAAGGUCUCCGCUGCGUGUGAUGGCACUGAAUAUCCCUACUGGAAGAAUAGGAUGCGCAUGCAUCUUGAAGCCAUUGAUGUCGAUCUGUGGUAUGUCAUCAAGAAUGGCGUUCCCAAGACUGGUGAAGGUGUCACCCCCGCUGAUGUGAAGAAGUUCAUUCAACUGGACUCUACCGCCAAGAACAUCAUCUGUGGUCAUCUGACCAAAGGGCAGUAUGGCCAUGUGAGCGCUUUGGAAACGUCGAAGCUAGUCUGGGACUGGCUCUCCAAGGUCAAUGAAGGCGUCUCAACACAGCGUAAUCAACGAAUCAGUACUCUUCGCAACCUCUUCAACCGCUUCAAAAGACACGACAACGAGAACGUCCAGCUCACGUUUGAUCCCCUCACCGAUAUUACCAAUGAGCUCCGUGCACUCGGUGCAACUGACAUUACGAAGCAUGAAAUUGUGAAGACACUGCUGAGAUCUCUUGACAGCUCAUUUGACACCUUAGCCCUGAUGAUACAAGAACGCCCUGAUUUCAAGACACUUGAUCCGUCUGACAUACUCGAGAGGCUCAACACACAUGAGUACCAGCUAUCUGAGAAACGAGAUAUCUAUGGCCCCAACUACGGCCGAACUCGUGCCUUGAAGGCAAAGGCUGCGGCUUCCUCGUUUGGAGAAGAAUCUGACUGCAAUUCUGAUGAUCCUGAAGACAUUGGAAAGGAGCUUGCUAUGCUUGUGAAGAAGUUCCAGAGAUUCACAAGGAAGAAGAACUUCAGAAAGUCUUCACGAUCCAGCUCAAGGGACGAUGAAGCUUCUACCUAUGACAACAAGAAAAGAACCUGUCACAAGUGCAAGAAACCUGGCCACUACAUCUCUGAAUGUCCACAGUGGGACAAUGAGAAGAAGUAAAAGAAGAGCAAAGAAUAUGAUUUUGAUGACAAAAAGAAGAAGAAAUCCUCAAAGUCUUCUUCCAAAUCUUCCUCUAAGUCUUCAUCACACAAGAAGAUCUCGUCAGGCAAAGCACGUGCUUUUGUUGGCAAGGAAAUGGAUUCAGAGGAGGAGUCUGCUUCUGAGGAGGAAGUGGUGGAGUCUGAGGAGGAGUCUGACUCCGGUGUCGCAAGUAUGGCUCUAGCUACAGCCUACGUCGCCAAGUCCAUCUUCAACACUGAAGACAAUGACUCCGUCACCAACACUAAUGACGAGAACGACUCAACUCCCACCUACUGCUUCAUGGCACGUGGUGCCAAGGUAAACUCUCGCGAUGCUUACUUUCAAACAUCAAGUGAAGAUGACUCUGAUGGUGAUUCCAAACCUAGCUACAAAAAACUUGCUAAAACUGCAACUGAACAGCAGAAUGCCAUGGAACAUAUUCAAAAACUAUUAGACAAAAGCAAUGACAUGUUGGACGCGGAAAUGACUAAGACUCGGUCCUUGAUUGAAGACAUAAAAAAUCUUCAUGUUAAGUACCAGGAACUUGAAGGUCGUCAUGAAACCCUCUCAACAUCUCAUGAAAAGCUUUCCUACGAUUAUCUUCAAAGGAAGCAGGAACUUGAGAAAUUGAGAUCGGAUGAUGAAGAUCUUCAAAAAGAGAACGAGUCACUUCACGCUCAACAGAUCAGUCCCGCUCAGGAAGGAUUUGAACCACCAUGUCUAAUAUGCAUUGAGCGUGAUAACGCUGCCUCUGUUGCUGAAUGUUCUACUGCUACUCCUGUUGCAAUACCUUCAACUGAUGAUGUGGUAACUAACCCCUCUAUUGAGGAUACCACCACUAUUGUUGAUGAGAAUGCCAGGUUGAAAACACUGCUUGAGACAGGGAUGUACAAAAGCCUCAAAGGGCAUCAGACAUUAUGUGAUGUCCUCAAAAAGCAGAUUCUGAACCGAAACCCUAGAAAAGAGGGUGUUGGGUUCGAGAGGAAAAUGAAUGUUGAUGGGUCGUACUGGAAGCCUGAGCAGUACCCCAAAACUACCUAGGUUGCUGCAAAGGAACCUCCAGCAGAUCCAUCCACCUUAUCUGGUUUCACUUGCGCUAACCCUAUUAUCAUUGAUGAAUCCUUUGAUGCAAACUAUAAAUUGUUUAAGAAUCUGAAUGGCGAAGUGUUUGCCAGGUAUAUUGGUACUAACUGCAGGAAUGGGUCACCUAUGAAGAAGAUAUGGGUACCCAAGAGUUGCCUUGAGAAUCUUCCUGUGAAUGCCAUCACGACGCCACCUGUGAAGAAGACAAACCCCCUACCAAAGGUGUCAUACGUUCCAAAAGCUUCAUACAGACCAAGGACUCAUCUGAGUCACCCUAACUCAAUGUUUUGCAGGAAAAUCAUACUCAGACCCAUGAAUAUGAGCAUGUUUCAUUAAACCGCUAUGUUCAUAGAACCAAGAACUUUUCUGCUUAUUCAUAUGAGUAUUAUUCACCCCCUGCAAGGCUAUUUACUAGGGCUCAGAAGCCAAAAUUCUCAGAUGCUGCACUUAGACUCAUUGCUUCUAAGCCACCCCUGAAGAUGUGGGUGGUUAAGAAAACUUAACUCUCUUUUGCAGGGAAGGUCUCUAGUCGGAAAUCAAAAGCAUCCGAAGCUAAUGCUGGAGACCUUAAAAUCUUGUUGGGCGCAAGAUAAAAUGCCUAAAUAGUCUUACUAUGUAUUCCAUUCCAGAUUUUCUUGAUACUCAUCCUGUCUAUCCUAACCAAGACCUGAAUUUCCAUGUUCCACUUGCUCAUUAAAUGUUUCUGCUUCACAACUCGCUUGGUGAAGCCUAUCCCCCAAACUGCAUUGUAGGCUACGACACCUUGUGCUUCAGAAUGGAUUAUGGACAAUGGAUGCACUAAUCACAUGACUGACGAUCGAAGUCUUCUGAUGGAUUCAAUGCUGCGUCCAUCAGACAAAAGCCACAUCACAUUUGCUGACACUGGUAAAAGUAAGGUAUUGGGUCUAGGUAGAGUAGCAAUAUCAAGGGAUCAGCACAUGGAUAAAGUGAUGCUUGUUGAAUCCCUUGGUUUCAACUUAAUGUCUGUCUCAAUGCUUUGUGACUUAAACAUGAUUGUGCUAUUUGGAAAAUAUCGCUGCCUUAUACUGAUGGAAUCUAACAAGUCUCUAGUCUUUGAAGGAUAUCGAAAAGGUGAUCUGUAUAUGGUAGAUUUCUCAGCAGGUCCACAGAUGGCCGUAUGUCUUCUAGCAAAAGCUUCAGAAUGCUGGCUUUGGCAUCGAAGGCUAGGACAUGCUGGCAUGAGGAACUUGCACAUUCUCGUGAAGAAGAAGCAUGUUGUGGGCAUCGAAGGCGUCAAGUUCAAGAAGGAUCAUUUGUGUGGCACCUGCGAAGCCGGGAAGAUGACAAGAGCCAAGCAUCCCUCAAAGAUAAUCAUGACCACGUCUCAAUCCUUCGAGCUGCUGCACAUGGACUUAUUUGGCCCUACUCACUAUUCCACUCUCAAUGCUACUGCUUGCCUCUAUGGCUUCAUCAUUGUUGAUGAUUACUCUCGAUACACUUGGGUGCAUAUAAUCCUCUACAAGACUGAAGUGCAGGAUGUCUUCAGACGCUUUGCCAACCGUGCCAUGGCGAACUACGGUGUCAAGAUCAAGCACAUCAGAAGCGACAACGGCACUGAGUUCAAGAACACCGGCCUCGACCUCUACCUGGAUACCAUGGGUAUCACUCAUGAGUUCUCUGCUCCAUACACAUCUCAGCAGAAUGGCAUCGCCGAGCGCAAGAACAGAACUCUUAUUGAGAUGGCCCGAACGAUGCUUGAUGAGUACAAGACUCCACGGAAGUUCUGGCCCGAAGCCAUUGAUACUGCUUGUCACACCAUCAACCGCGUUUAUCUUCACAAGCUUCUGAAGAAAACAUCCUAUGAGCUCCUAACUGGUAAGAAACCCAAUGUAAGCUACUUCAGAGUAUUUGGUGCUAGGUGCUGGAUCAAGGAUCCUCAUCACACUUCAAAAGUUUGCACAGAAAGCACAUGAAGGUUUUAUGCUUGGUUACGGAAAAGAUUCGCACUCCUACAGAGUCUUCAACCUCUUUCACUAUAAAGUGGUUGAAACUGUGGAUGUGCAGUUCGAUGAGACUAACGGCUCGCAAAGAGAGCACCUACCAAAUGUUUUUAGAUGAGUUAUCCCCUAGCGAGUCAAUCAAGUAAAUGGGAACUGGUGAAAUCAUACCCUCUGAGAAUCAGGCUGAAGAAGAACUGAUCAUUUCUGCACCUGAUCAACCUGAAGACAAUGCUCAGCCUGAAGAUAAUCCUCCAAAUGAUGACAUUGAUCAGAAUGAACAGAAUCUUCGUCCUGCUCACCCUCGUGUUGCAAAUGAAGUACAGAUUGAGAAGAUGAUCGAUAGCCUCAAUGCACCUGGUCCACUCACUCGUUCAAGAGCCACACAAAGAGCAACACAACUCACCAAUUUCUGUGGACACUUUGCAUUCGUCUCAAUCUCAGAACCCAAGAAAGUCACCGAAGCCUUUAUGGAAUCUGAAUGGAUUCAAGCAAUGCAAGAAGAGUUUCAACAGUUUGAGUUGAACAAUGUGUGGGAACUGGUCAAGCGUCUUGAUCCUCGGAAGCACAAUAUCAUUGGCACCAAAUGGAUAUAUCGCAACAAGCAAAAUGAACAUGGUCAGGUGGUCAGAAACAAAGCUCGUCUAGUUGCUCAAGGCUACACUCAAGUGGAAGGGAUUGACUUUGAUGAAACUUUUGCUCCUGUGGCAAGGCUUGAAGCCAUUCGCAUACUGCUAGCCUAUGCAAAUCAUCACAACAUUCUCCUUUAUCAAAUGGAUGUGAAGAGUGCUUUUCUCAAUGGAAAGAUAGAAGAAGAAGUAUAUGUUGCACAACCUCCUGGCUUUGAAGAUCCAAAACAUCCUGAUAUGGUGUACAAGCUCAACAAGGCACUGUAUGGCCUCAAACAAGCCCCUCGCGCUUGGUAUGAUACACUCAAAGACUUCCUGAAGAGCAAAGGCUUCAAACCUGGUUCACUGGAUCCUACCCUCUUCACGAAGACUUAUGACAGUGAACUGUUUGUGUGCUAAAUAUAUGUGGAUGACAUUAUCUUCCGCCGCACCAACAAGAAAUACAGUGAUGAGUUUGGUCAUAUGAUGCAAGAGCAAUAUCAGAUGUCCAUGAUGGGUGAACUAAAGUUCUUUCUAGGUCUCCAAAUCCGUCAGCAACGCAACGGCAUCUUCAUUUCUCAAGAAAAAUAUCUCAAAGAUUGCCUAAAGAAGUUUGGAAUGCAAGACUGCAAAGGAUACACGACGCCAAUGCCAACCAAAAGUCAUCUGGGUCCCGACGACACUGGUAAAGAAUUCGACCAAAAGGUAUACCGCUCCAUGAUUGGUUCUUUGCUUUAUUUAUGUGCAUCUAGGCCAGAUAUAAUGCUUAGUGUUUGCAUGUGUGCCCGAUUCCAAGCGGCACCAAAGGAAUCGCAUCACUUACCAGUGAAGCGAAUACUUCGAUAUUUGGCUUACACCCCAACACUAGGAUUAUGGUAUCCAAAGGGCUCAGAGUUUGAUCUAGUUGGAUUCUUAGAUGCUGAUUAUGCUGGUGAUAAGGUUGAUCGCAAGUCCACAUCAGGCACAUGUCACUUUCUGGGACGAUCACUUGUCUGUUGGUCUUCAAAGAAGCAGAACUGUGUAUCUCUCUCCACUGCUGAAUCCGAAUACAUUACUGCUGGAUCUUGCUGUGCUCAGCUUCUCUGGAUGAAGCAAACUCUCAAGGACUAUGGUAUACACCUAAAGAAUGUGCCUCUUUACUGUGACAAUGAGAGUGUCAUCAAGAUUGCCAACAAUCUAGUUCAGCACUCGAAGACAAAGCAUAUUGAGAUUCGGCAUCACUUCCUCAGAGAUCAUGUUAUGAAGGAAGACAUUGAUAUCAUCCAUGUCAACACUGAAGAGCAACUGGCUGAUAUCUUCACAAAGCCCUUGGAUGAGAAAAGGUUUUGCAAGUUGCGGUGUGAGCUAAAUAUCUUGGAAUUCUCAAAUGUCCUGUGAAUGGGACACACAUCCUAACACUUAUGCAUUUUGAUGACUUAGAUGUGCAACACACGAAGUAACGUAUAUCUUCAAUCAAUGAAGACAUACACUCCAAGUGUGAAUACAUUAAUGCGGAAUUUGACUUCGGAGCGCCAGGAUAAUUGUGCGCCGUGUCUGAGUCUAAUACUUUCUAUACGGUGGGUAACACCACCACCAAACUUUUGUUUGAGGUGCUUCUCUUAGCGUUAUGUUUGCAUAGUCUUCAUAACUGAGUUGUCUUUAUUUCUGACUUAUAUUCGAAUUUAUCUUCAUAUGAUUGAUUUGGCCUUAAACUGGUUGCAUACUAUUUGUGUUCUGUCCUCCACGGCAUUCACUUAUAGUUAUGACUUCGUGUUGAAUCUUUUAAUCUAAGUGAAUGUGAUCGGACCCUAACCUAACUAUGCUUCUACCUCAACUCCAUCUGUCCAAAUCAUAUGCAUUCUAUUGAAAACUGUCGAUUGUCUUCACUGAAUCUUGUCAGCUGAAGUCAAUCUGACAAACAUUCAUGUUUGUUUUAAAUGUGCUAUCUUUAUUACCGGAAAUCCGAAGAAUUCAGAACGACCGCCCCCACAAUCCAGGCGUGCGUGGGAACAUGGAACAACUACCCAGGAGUUGCAUGCACGCCACGUGUCAUUCAAAUGUGAAUCGCCAGGGGCACCUGCGUAAUUACGCUGUGCUGUCCCUUUCCUUAUAAAUGCACAUCCCAUCACGGUCAAAAAACUUUCUUCCACCUCGCCACCUCCCGAAAACCCUAGCGCCACCGCUAGCACUCGACGACGCCGGCGAUGAAGCGCUUAGGUGUCGCGACUUCUCCGACGCCGUCCUCACGCCGGCCGCGACCUCAUCUUCUCUGUCGCCACCGUAGCUGUCUCUCGUCGCCAAGUUAGGGCACGAGAGAUUGAACUGCUCGGCCUCAACUUUUCCUCCGUCUAGCAGUUCUUCCUGUGGUAAUUAAAACUCUCUUUUUACUGUCUUUUUGAUCUGAUAGAUUCAUCCUUCUUUACCAAAAGUAGUUUCUACAACUCCAAAGUUGAAUCUAUCACACUCUGCAUCUCAUAAUGUGCCUAGAAUGUUCACUUAUGCUUCAUUACAAGUUAGAUUCCUCACUUGUACUUAUUUCCGGAUUUGUACAACUCUGGAACCAACUCACAUCAACUAAGUGAAUAUCUUCGCGUUAUGAGGUCAAUGUCUUCAAACUGAUUUAUCUUCAAAAUCAUCUGAGAAUGCAUAUGACCUCUUCCCCUUUCCUCGCAUCUCUAAUGCUGUCACAGGUACAUGUCCGUGGGAGAAUCCCUUGGUUCUCAUAGUCUGCAUUCAUUUGCAGAAUUCUUGCAGAGUCACAUCAAUUCACCUGAAGCAAGUUCUUGUCUGACUAGCCGCAAGAAGCCAUUGCACGUUCUGAAACCCUUCAGCUUAAACUUCAUGACAACUGAAAAGUCAGCACGAAAGGGAGGCAGACAGCGCCGUGGUAACACUUCAAAGGAUUUGCCUCCUGAUCUUCACGAGCUGUACAAAACUGAUCCUGAGGAAACCUAUACCGGCCGCAAGAAUCGAAUCCAGUGGAUUCGAAGAUAUUGGGCUGAAGAAUGGUUCAAAUACCGCUUCGUCACUGAAGAAUAUGCAGAGAAAAAUGCCAUCAAGACACCCUGGGGAGAUAUUGUGUACAAAAAUCUUCAACCCCAGUCUCUUUCCGAAGCCAUCCAACUGGAAUUCUAUCCUUGCAUGGUUCGCGGACCAGAGCUAGAGAAUGCUGACCCUUCUUCUCUGCUAUGGUGUCGCGAAGACCAUCUCUUUAAGCGCAAUUACCAGUUCGCCAAAGACUCAGCUGCGAAGAACAAGAAGGCUCUAGGGCUCAACUUCAACCCUUGUCCUUCCUCACCUCGGGAUGAUGGCACCCGCGAAGCCAAUGAGAAUAGGAUCGGUCCCUUCUACAACUUUGAAGGCCUCCUCGCUCACAUAGCUGUACAAGGUGCCAAGGUGGAUCAUUCUGAUGAUGAUGCUGACACAGAUGAAGCUCCUGCUCCUACUCCAAAGCCGCAGAAGCAAAAGAAUGCUAAAGCUUCAAAACCCUCUGCUGCACCAAAGGCUUCUCGAGUGAAGCCGUUGGCAACUGCCCCUCCUGCUCCAAGCAACGCCUCUGAAGAUCUCUCUCGCAUCUCUAAGAAGCGUGAGAAGCCACAGAAGAAACCUGUUCAGAGACUCAGUCAAGCACUGACACCAGCUGCCGUUCUGAGGAAUGAAUCUGAAGCCAUUGAUUUGUCUUCAGAUGAAGAAUUUGGUGAGGAUGCUCUGGAGCAGCUGAUCAAGAGCAAGCAAGAGGCGGAGAUCUUCAAUGAUCUGCCCCUCUUUGAUGUGAACAUCUUGCACAAUUUCAUUGAUGAGUGGUUCGACAAUCAAAAUCUCAGCUUUGAUGAUCUCCAACUCCCCAUUGGCAUCAGCGUCGCCUUCCAAGGCGCAAUUGCUCCUGAGCUGGCUCUGGCCCAGCGAAUUGUUGAACUGAAACACAAGAUUGAUUUCGAGAAGGAACAGUUCAAGAAGCAUGUGGCCAAGCUGAGUGUGGCUGAUGUCCAAAAAUUCAAGGUGAUGCUGAAUGACCUUAAAGAAGCCUUUCGCAAGAAGCGUGAAGAAGCCAAAGGCUCAAGAGAACGCAUGAAGAUUCUUGCUGCCAAAUGUGUUCAGGCUUACAACGAAGCUGAAAAGCGCAAGGCACUUGGGCGUCCUGGUAUUGACCCCAAGAUGGCUGUCAAGCAAAAGAAGAAGUCUACUGUGGCCCCCACUGAAGCUCCAAGGCGGGAAGAACCUCGCAUUGUCUUCCCUGCCAGCAUGAUAGGCUCGAAGCCUAAGGUCUCCACAGUGGCUUCAGAUCAGCAGAAGACCAAGGCCGCUGAAGCCGAAGCCAGAAAGCGCAAAAUCAAGCGCACUACUGAUGAUGCACCACCCCAAAGAAGAGAACGACCAAGAAGAAAGAUCGGGCUGCUUCCAGAGAGCCCCUAGUUGUUGAACCCAUUGCUUGUGCUCCCCCUCCAUCCAACAAUCAAGAGCGUCAGUUGAUUGUUCAUGAGCCUGCUUCCACAGAGGCUCCUGAAGAACAAGAAGUUCCAGUCGUCGAUCCUAUCGCGACUGAAGACAUUGGUCCCCAAGACAAUGUAGAAGAUGAUGAAGUCCUUCCUCAGAUUCAGAACCCCACAGUAUCAUCGCCUGUUCUCAUGAACAACGAACUCAUCAGUAUUGGUCGUCCUUUGAUGCCAAUCACACAGGAUGCUUCAUGGGCUGAUCGCCCCCAACCAGAUACCCUAGUUCAAGACUCCCCAAGUACACCGCAUCCUACGCCAACGCAAGGUACCAGUCCAAUUGUCAAUGAUGACAAUUACAUGGAGGCCACACCAUCAUCGAAGACGUCACCCGUGUUUCAACGGCUCCACAAAGGCCUGAGGCCUUCGGUCUCCAUGACGACUAUCAGGAAGAGGAUUCACACCAAUCCAGCUCAGUGGCACGUCAAGUGUUUCCUGAAGACAAUCCUUCUGUGAUGGUUCCUGUGCCCGAAGCUAAUGCUUCUGAAGAGAUUCCGGCUGCAACAGUCGAUGACAGACAAGAAGAACCUGUUGCCACACACCCCACAAAUCAAGAAGUUGUUCUCGAGGAGAACGUAUCUGUGCCCGACCCUCCAGCUACACAAGUGGAGGUUGAGAAUACUGAGGCGGCCACCAAUAACGCCACUGAAGCCAAUGACGUUGUCAUGGCUGAAGCCAAUGUGGCACCUCAAGUCAAUACAGUGAAUGAAGCCAAUGCUGCACCUGCAUCCAAUGUGCAGCCUGAAGCUAAUGCAGAUGCCACUGCUCCUGUUCCGCCUCCAAGGCCACACACAAUUAAGCAUGCAUUCUAUCAAGGCGAGCUUGUUCCUGUAUGAUGGCCAAUUCUGGUUCCUCCGCCUGCUCCUGGACCACAAUUUGACUACCAUGUGGAGCAUAGGCCUCAGGUUCAGAAGCCAAAACCUAAGACUGCCCAGAUUCCCAGGUUCUGCAUCAGCACCAGGCUCCUUCAAUGUCAACGGCUUCAUUGCACACAACACCUUCUUCGAUUCUGGCAAGAACCCAUAUUCCAAGCCAAGAAUCUCAUCAGAUCGGUUCUGGAGCUACCACCAGCGCAGCUACUACUCCUGCAUUCUAUACAAUCAAGAGCGCAUAUUUCCUCAUAUGCGUCUGGACACUGAAGUCGUUGCUGGUCUGCCCUGCCUUGAAGAAGCCCUAGACUGCUUUCGUGAUGCUGGCCUUCUGCAGUUUGUCACCGACAAGGAACAUUGGAAUGAAGAGCUUCUCCUGCAAUUUUAUGCAACCCUCCACAUUCGCGGCUACAAUAGGGAUACAACGACAUUGGUCCUUGAGUGGAUGACGGGCAACGUUCAUCAUGAAGCCAAAGCCUUUGAUCUCAUUGAGCUUACCAGCCUCUCCACUCCAGGCGAACUGUAUGAACCAGGUUGUCAGCUUCACCGCGAUGCAUUGGAGAGCAUCUUUUAGAAGCUUGAGCCCAACAUAAGCCAGAUGCUCAGUAUGAUGAAGCCACUGCCCUCGGAUGCUGAGUAUCCCAAGGAAUUCCUUGUUGAAGACCUUGAGUAUCUGCCACGCACAAUCUAUCAUAUCAUUCGGCGAACUCUAUGGCCGAUGAAGGGGCAUUCCUCCUCAGCAAAUCUUGAAGGAGCAAUGAAGACAUUGGUCUUCUACAUACUCAAUGGCAAAAGCUUCAAUGCUCAAGAUUUCUUCAUACGCCAGUUUGCUGCAUCUGGGUCUGACAUUUCCGGUCUCAAAUUUUAUGCUCCUUGGGUUAUGCGUCUGAUUAAGCUGCACUCUGCUGUUGACUAUCAGCCCUCUGCACGCAACCAUAUUAUCUUCCUGCCAGAGGUUGAUAUGUCAGUCGAAGCCAUUUACCCAGAGCCUGCCAAGGAAGCGCUAUAUCUUCACAAUGCAGAUUGUCAGAGUUUCACUCAGGAUGUUGAAGGUGUUCAAGCUGUUUCGCGUGUCUAUCCAUUGGCCAGCAACACUCGUCGUGCACGUACUGAAGCCAUUGAAAGCACCAUUGCGCCAAGGUCUCGCAAGCGCUCCCGUGUACUCUAUGACCAUGAGCUUCUUGUGGCCCUGCAUCGGAAACAAGACAAGCAUCACUUUUGGCUGAAACGGCAGAUGCAAAGCCUCUUGAUGGAUGUUAAUCACAUUCGCAAUCUUGCUACCAAGAAUGCUUUUGUCACUCAUGAAACCUGUCGGAGGUCCUGGAAGAGUCUAACAUUACUAAGUGUUGAAGCUGAUCUUCAAGACGAUGGCUUCACUGAGAGAUUCAAGUUCGACUCCACUCCUCCACGGAAUGAUGUGCUACGUCAAACCCCAUCUCUUGAAGACUCAGAAUACUCUUCCUCUGCAGCCACUGUUCACGCUAGAGUUAUUGAUGAAGCUGAUGAUGCUACCUCACCACCUCCAACCUCAGCGCAUGUCAACACUGCACCAAGUUCUUCUGCACCACCUAACCUCAACGACGACCCUACUGCUUCACCUACUCCUCAUGGGAACGAGUAGCGACUAUGUCUUCAAACCUUUUUGGUCCUUACUGACAAAAGGGGGAGAAGCAUAUGUUGAUAGUCUUCAAGCGGGUCCAUAUGGGUGGUUGCUAUACUUUUGCGCGGUGUUUACAACUCUCGUUUUUGAUACAUUUGGUUCUUUGAGUUGUAACACCUAAACUCGAUGGUUGUCUGCUACUUUUUGCUACUAGUCUGUGAUGCGACGAUAAAUUCCGCAUAUGCGAUGUUAAAUCUCGCAUGAAGUCAUGUCGCAGACAUCCAUCUUUCAUUAUGCAUGUCAUUAUCCUUGUAUAUCUUCUCAUGCAUGAUGCAUUGUCUUCAUAUGGUGAGAUGGAUCACCACAAGUACAACCUGCCAUGUGCAUUUGCAUUCCAACGCAAAACAUUUAUAUGCACAUCUUCAGGGGGAGCCUCUUGCCAUAUAUGAAGACAAUGCCUUAAUCCCCUACAAUUUCACAUACUUUUAUCCCCGUUGAAAACUUCAACCAGUUUGUCAUCAAUCACCAAAAAGGGGGGGAUUGUAAGUGCAUCUAGUGCCACCCCUAGUUGGUUUUGGAGUAUUGACGACAAACCUGGUUAAGGGACUAAUGUGUUUGUGAGAAUUGCAGGAUAACACAGGUAGUAGUCCCUCAUUGAUUCGGUUGACCUACCGGAGAUGACCUCUAAAAAUGUGUGAAGACAUUGAAGACAAUGGUGGUCUGUGAAGAUAUUCACAUUGAAGACUAUGACAUGAGAAGACAUUGAGUGAAGACUAUGGAACGCGAAGACUUAGUUGUUUCAUUGUUUCCUUUUCUUCUUUGUUGAGUCAUAGGAACCACCGCACUGUUAAGUGGGGUCCCAGUGAACAAAGUCAGAGUGACUAAAGUGAUGCUCAAACAAAUCCUAUGUCUUCGAGCGAAGACAAUGAGAGCAAAUCUUAUCCAGAGUCGGAUAAGUCAGCUUUACUUGUAGCCCAAGUCAAGCUGCCGCGUGUGUUUGAAAUCUGACCGUUGUGACACGUGUCAGUUCCUUGGUAACCCAGGGUCAUUUCGGACAAAUCAGGUCGGGUUGCCCUGUGGCUAUAAAUAGCCCACCCCCUACACCAUAAAUUGGUGGCUGCUCAGAGUUAGAUACGGCUUUUGUCGUUUGAGAGCAACCCACCUCCGAAGCUUUUGAGAGAGAAUCCUUGCGAGGAUAAAGCCCAAACCAUCCAGAGCCCAGAGUGUGUUUGGCAUCACUGAAGACUUUGUGUCCGCGUGAUCUCAAGACUUGUUACACUUGAGGACUGUGAAUCCUCCAGCCGGUUAGGCGUCACGUUCUGAGCAUCCAAGAGUCAUUGUGGAUUGCCGGUGAACGAAGUCUGUGAAGGUUUGGAAGUCUACCUUGAAGACUUACCUGAGUGAUUGGGCGGGGACUAGGUGUCCUUAGCUCAAGGGGAAUAAGGUGAAGACGCGGUCUUCUGAGUUGAAUCUCAGCCUCCCUAACCAGACGUACAGUUGUCACAAUAACUGGAACUGGUCGAAUAAACCACUGUCUCCCUGAAGCUAUUGGUUCUAUCUCUUACUUCUCUUUACUUAUCGUUUGUCUUCGUGAAGUCUUUGCCUGAUUGCAUAAUCUGUUUGACUUCACAGUUUGACUACUUGUUCUGAUUGGCUUCAUACUAUCUUCCACCCUGAUCCUUACUACCUAGCUGCUAAUAGUCUUCGUGCUUUCACUUCAUUGAAUACUUGACUAUGGCUUGUCUAGUGUAGUCUACCUUCCGCUGCAUACGAAUAGUGUUGUUUCUCCUGUUUGUCUUCAAAACUCCCAUGUUUUGAAGACUUUCAUAAAAAUCGCCUAUUCACCCCCCCUCUAGUCGAUAACUAGCACUUCCAGUACCUCCAAUGGCCACCAUGAUGGACAAGAAGAUGCUCGAGGAGGAGAACAAGCGCACCGGGGCGUGGUGGUUGCUUGGCGGCUACCACUCGACGCAGCCUCCGCCAUGCCCGGACUCUGGAUUUGAGGAGAGCUUCAGAUCCAAUAUGCGGUGCUAUUCCCGGUCACCGAGUCCAUCUUCGUCCACCGUGAAGGAGAAGCGGGUUGACGAGGAGGAGAUCGGCUAGGCCAACCUUGCGAGGAGGACUCGGUAGAGGAGGAGCCGCCGCAGCCGCCCAUGCCCUGCGGCGGCGAUAGAUGGCGAGUUCCAGCAGCACACGGAUUGCACCGUGGAACUCGUUGAGCGACUAGGGUCCGGCGCCAUCAUCUCCUCUAUGAAACCAUAGUGUCCAGAUUAGACUCCGUUUGUAGUCAUCCGUGUUGCCCCGAUGCCAAAUGGUGCCUUGCCCUAGUGAAGCAAGAGUCAUCCCAGCCGAGGCUGCGUAGCCACCUUGACUACUAUCUGAGUGGUGGUGGCUCGGGCUGCACAUCGUCCUCGUCGUCGGUGGUCGGGGGAUGCCUCACCAAGGUGGAGAGACACGCCCGGAGUGACACCGGGUGCAGCGCUUGGUGGUGUUCGCCAAGACCGAUGUGCCACCGCCCUAGGUCCUCGCUGAGGCUUGGGCCUUCGAUUGGUUCAAGACCACCAAGAAGAUGGUUGCCCGCCGAUGGCGCCGUCCGAACUAGCAGCUCCUCCUUUUCGGGCUGGUCGAGACCGAGUGCUUGAUCCGCCUCCAAGCCAACAAGAAGCGACCCAAGGUGGAAGAGGUGGCUGAGUUUCUACGGCGUGAGCAUGACGCCCCGGCCAUGGACAGUUCGCGCGACGGCUAGAGUUGUAUCCUCCACUGGCGCGACUAUGACGACUCAAACAGCGGCGGCAACUGUGGUGCCCGUGGGCUUGGAGGCCAUGCCUACGAGGUGGUCGUGCGCUACUUAGCCUAGUUUUAGUUUAGUUAUGUUAAGUUAAAUUUGAGUAGUUUCGAUGAAACUUGUUAAAUCUUAUCUAAUAUGCAUGUAAUAUAUCGUACUAGGUUUAAUUUCGUUUUUGAAGUGUUCGGACGAGGGAAAUUACGGAGACGAUUUUGGAUGGCCGGCGCCGGCCAGAUGACCGCGGACACAUCAAAUUGGUCAUACAAUGCAAUAUAAAACAAAUACCUUACACUCAUUCAACAAAACUAAGUGAGACAAAUAUCUAAAAGCCAUAGUGAGAACACUUAGUGAUUUGAAUGUGAUAUGUACAAUCCAGUGGCACCCUGCUUUGUUUGUACAUUGGGAUCUUUGUCCAAUGGUCCAAAUGGCUAGAUCCUAUGUAUCCACCUAAUGGUCUGAUCCUAUACAAGUUGCUCCCCAGUAAAAUGUACUGUAAAGAAAUCUCUGAUAUUUCGAUUCACAUAGAUAUGGUGAUUUUGCGCACUGCACAGUCUUCAACAAGUUACUUUCAUAGUUAAUAUUCAUACAAAUAUGUUGGUAAGAAUAUAUAGAAAAACAUGUAUCAUGAAAAUAUUUUCAUCAGGACAAUUUUGCUUAAUUAUUGUGAAGCAUUUCCUCUUAUUUAGCGCUCUUGUUGGUAAGAUCUAAGAAAUGACAGGAUACAAGAGAGGGAGAGAUGGUUGAAAGGGGGUCCUAAUUUGAGGUGGGCACAGGUGGGAUGAGAAGGGAUUAGGUGCAACAUUGAGGAUGAAAAUAGAGGGUUUACGCAAAAUGUCCAUGCCCUGGCCACCUUGCUAAAUCUGGAUAGCUCAUUCUUUAUUCAAUGGUGCAGACGAUUGGAUCCUAUGUAUUCAUGUGUCCACCUAAAGCCCUGAUUCUAUACAAGUUGCUCCCAUACUGGGAUUUUACUAGUGCUAGAGGAGACUGAGUUAGAUCUGUCAUCGAUUGCAUCGGCGUUCUUGACAUCUUCUGUUUGGGCAUUUUUAUUUUACCGAAAAAGGCUUUCGCCCCGCUUUAUAAAUAAAGCAAACCGCCACAGAGCAUACAAACCGAAGCAAGUCCACACACACCCACCCAAGACUCACGACAAAGUACAUAGGUUCUGCUGAGGGCACAGCUCAACAAGCCCAAAAGGAAAAGAAAAACAACACCCACACACCAAACACAAGGCGUCUAGUCAGGAUCCGGCGGAGGCGGCGGCGACAGGCGGACGGCCAUCGAACGGAUGUUGGCGAUGAAGGCGGAGAUGGCGUCACAGUUCGGGGGGCGGCUAAGCGGCCGCCAAAGCUGCAAGAAACCCGAGAAUUUGUAGAGAGCGUCAGUAGCGCGGCGAAGGGGAGCGUGCUAAAUCACAAGCUUAUUGCGAACGGUCCAAAGAGUCCAGGCGAGAACGCCAACCUCAAGCCACCUAAUGUGGCGAGAGGACGCGGAGGACAACUGGAGUUCAGCAAAAAGGUCCGGGAAAUUGGUGUGGCACCAACUACCACCGACCACCUCGCGAAAGCAGCUCCAGAGGAACUGGGCGGAGACGCGGGAGAAGAAGAUGUGGUUCGAGUCUUCAGGGACUCCACAGAGCGGGCAGAUACCGGUGCCCGGGCCAUUGCGCUUGCAGACCUCCACUCCAGACGGGACCCGGCCGCGAAUCCACUGCCACAUGAAAAUGCGGAUCUUCAGGGGAACGCGGACGGACCACACCGUCGAUAGGGGGAGGGGAGCGGAGGAUGGGGCAAUGGCCGGGUACAACGACUUGGUGGAGAACAAGCCCGACGGAUCCAGACGCCACCGCACAAGGUCCGGUCUGCCAUCCACCAACGGCUCAUGCAACGCAACGCAAUCAAGCAACUCACGCCAGGCGGCGGAUUCCGCCGGCCCAAAAGGCCGACGGAAAGCAAGGCGCCCUAAGUCAAGAAGGGCCCUAUUGACCGAAAUCGUGGGGUCGACGGAGAUAGAGAAGAGGGCGGGGAAGCGGGCCGCAAAGGGAGCGUCUCCGGCCCAACGAUCAAACCAGAAAAGCGUCGAGAGGCCGGAUCCCACCGAGAUGGAGGUCCCAAUGCGGAGCACCGGGAGAAGCUGGACAAUAGACUGCCAGAACUGAGAGCCGCCCGAUUUCUGGCAGAAGGCUAGGGGCUGACCCCGCAGGUAUUUAUUCCGGAUAAUGUCGAGCCAGAGGCCACCUUGACCCUGGGCGAUGCGCCAGAGCCAACGGGAGAGAAGGUCAAUAUUCAUCCUUUUAGAGCACAUGAUGCCCAGACCACCUUGCUCCCUGGGCUUGCAGAUGUCAGGCCAGCUGACCAUGUGGUACUUUUGCUUAUCAUGCUCGCCAGCCCAGUAGAAGCGGGACUGAAUUUUGGCGAUCUCCUUGUGGAGAGAUUCAUGGAGGCUGUAGAAACUCAUAAGGAACAGAAGGAGACUGGAGAGGGAAGAGUUGAUGAGAAUAGUCCGGGCCGCCUUAGAUAGCCAUCUCCCCUGCCAGGGCUCGCAACGGGAUUGGAGCUUAGUCACGGAGGGCCGCAGGUCCGCGACGGAGAGUCGCGAGUCGCUAAUGGGAGUCCCCGGGUAGGAGGUGGGGAAAGAGCCCAGGCGGCAAUUAAGUCUGUUGGCGAUGGCCAUAGACUCAGAGGGGGAAUAUCCCAUAACCAUGACAUCACUCUUCUCAAAGUUGAUCUUGAGGCCCGACAUCUGUUGGAAGCAGAGAAGGAGGAACUUGAGGUUGGCGAUGUCCACCUCCGAGCCUUCGACCAUAAUGAUCGUGUCGUCAGCAUACUGGAGGAUGGAGAUCCCCGAGCCCCCAGAAAGGUGUGGGGUAAUCCCGCGGAUGUGGCCAGCGGCUUUUGCCUUAUCAAGGAUGGAGGCAAGAGCGUCCACUACCAUAUUGAACAAGAACGGGGAGAAGGGGUCGCCUUGGCGCACCCCACAAAGGGUAGGGAAGAAAGGACCAAUCUCGCCGUUGAUGUUAACCGCCGUGCGACCGCAAGAGACCAUUUGCAUGACUCUAGUGAUCCACCGGUCAUCAAAGCCCUUCCGAAGAGGGACUUCCCUGAGGAAGGUUCAGCUAACAGAGUCGUAGGCUUUGUGGAAAUCGAUCUUCAGAAAGACCGCCUUAAGGCGUUUGACCCGGACCUCGUGAAGGACUUCAUGAAGGACCAGGACUCCAUCUAGGAUAUAUCGGCCCUUAAUGAAGGCCGACUUGUUAGGGUGGGUUAUCCGGUCAGCAAGCAGGGUCACCCUAUUGGCGUACCCUUUGGCCAGGAUCCGGAAGAUCACAUUAAUGACCGUGAUCGGCCGGAACUGGCGGAUGUCGGACGCCCCAGGGACCUUGGGGAUGAGAGAGAUGAUCCCGUAGUUGAGGCGCCCCAGGUCAAUAGAGCCAACAAAGAAUUCCUUGAAGAUGGCCAUGACUUCUGGUUUAAUCACGUUCCAGAAGGUCUGGAAGAAGAUGACUGGGAGUCCAUCCGGGCCCGGAGCAGAAGAAGCAUUCAUACCCUUGAUAGCCUCCCAGACCUCCUGCUCAGAGAAGGGGGUCGUCAAGGCCGCGUUCUCCGCGUCGGACACUAGCUGGAGGCCGGCCCAACAAUCAGGGGCGAGGGAGAUGCCGCUCCGAGGAGCGGCAGAGAAAAGGGACCUAUAGAAACCGUCGACAUGGGUCCGGAUGUCGCGGGGGUCCUGGAGGAGGGUCUCCCCAUCCCAGAGAAGGGGGAUGGUGUUGCGUCUACGGCGGCCGUUGGCGAUAGCCUGGAAGUAUGCAGUAUUCGCGUCACCCUUCAGGACCCAUUUCUGCGCGCCCCGAAGGCGCCAAUAAGCCUCCUCAUCGGUGUAGAUCACGGAGAGUUGGUCUUCGAGGUCAUAGCGGGACAACCACUCGUCCGGAGAGAGACCCACCACGUCGGCCCUAAGGUCAAGGGCCUGGAUCGCGGUAAGCAGCGCCUUCUUACGCUCCCUGGCGUCGCGACCAAGGUUGGCCCCCCACCCCUUCAUAAACUGCCUGCCACGUUUCGCACAGAAGUUCCACGCGUCAAUAGCCGAGGGGGGCCGAGGGUGGGGGUGGGCCCGAGCCUCGAUCCACCGCGCGCAGACGGCGUCGGUAAAUCCAGACUGGGAGAGCCAGAAGGUCUCAAAGCGGAAACGAGGGGGAUCGGCGGACGCUCGUCCGCGGAGGAGAGAAGAAGGGGGACAUGAUCCGAGCCAAUCCUAGUGAUGGCGCGGAGAGAGGCUAGGGAGCAAGGGAGGUCCCACUCCGGGGACAUUAAGACCCUGUCCAAGACGGACUGGGUCGGGGAGGCUUGCCGAUUGGUCCAGGUGAACCGGGCACCAAUCCUAUCAAUCUCCCGGAGGGCGAGGUCAGCAAUGAAGUCAUUAAACAACUGCAUCCGGGCAAAGCAGACAUUGUCAUUGCUCUUGUCUUCCGCCACGCGCAGCAGGUUAAAGUCGCCACCCACUACCACGGGGAGGGAGGCAGCCGAGAUCUUCCGGUGGAGCUCCUCAAGGAAGGCGGCCGACCGACUAUGGUCGGCAGGCCCGUAGACAAUGAUGAUCUCCCACUUGAAGUUGAGAGAUCUCUCGAAUAAUUCCAUGCUGACGAAGAAUUCCCCCCGAUCCAUGCUGCCCACCUCGAAGGUGGCAUCCUUCACACCUAAAAGGAUGCCACCCGAGUGGCCUGAGCUCCCACUAGAAGGGAGCCAGUGCCACGCAAAGAGGUGGGAGCUCAAAUGGUCGAGCUCAGGGAACGAGAAGUCGCGACGCAUGGUCUCCUGAACGGCAACGAUGUCGAUGUGCUCAUCCCGCAUGUACUCCACAAGUUGGCGGCGACGACCAUCAUGGCCGAAGCCGCGGAUGUUCCAGAAGAGGGCUCGCAUUAAGGAGCCAUCGGGGGGCUGCUUGACCCCAGAACACGAGAAGCGCUUUGCGCGCGAAGAGCCGCAGUGCGGGAGCGAGUACGGCCACGGAUCUCCGCCCCGGCUGCCGCGGACCAGGCGGGGUGGGAGACACCCCCACCGCAGAGGCGGCCGGAGGUAAAAGGAGGGCUGCACGGGCCUCCGCGAGCUUCCCAUCAAGGAUCUCACGAGCUCUGAUGGCCGCGAUCUGGACUAAAGGGGGGCCAGCCUCCCCUCUGAAGAUGAUCGUGGAGUCGGAGGCCACUUUGGCGAGGUUAAUCCCGAGUUGAAGGGCUUACGCAAAUUGCUUCUGCCCAACCCGGGACUACUCCACAUAUAAAUACAAUUGCACAUGAAACUAUCAGCGCAAGUGUUUUGAGAGAACCAUAAACCAUACCAACUUGAGUACUUAAUUACACACUGAUGCCUCUUAUGGGACCUUAAACUAUUGCUGGCAGUAAGGCCAACAUCACAAAGCCAAUAGAAGCUAGUGUAACUGGGAAUGGUAUUCUGCCUUUGUCCUUCCUCAGGAACAUUGCUUCAUAGAAUGGGAUACUGGUUAUCACCACCAUCCCACAGAGAAUGAGCUGGGGGAAAAGUGCAUCCAAGUGUAUAUUAUUCCAUCCAACUUUCAUGACUUUACUUAGCCCUCCCAGCAGGCAAACAAGGUUGAGUAACGUGAUAGUCCCGAUGAUCACAUAUUCUGGAUCUGACGACCCGAAUUCCAUAAUCUCUUGCUCAUACCUCUUGGACUCGUCUUCAUCGCUUACCUUCGGUGAAACCACAAAAUUCAUCUUUGACAGUCCAAGUAACUUCCGGAGAUUGUCAAGGACUCCAAAGAGGUACGAGGUUAUUCUUUUGACCAACCACAUCCUCUGCCCAUUCCACCAUCCUUUCAGCGUGUCUCCAGAUGAUAGUGCCUCAUAUAGGCUGUACAUGUUCUUCACACAGAAGACAUAUACGAAGGGUGCAAUCCAUGGACUUGUAAUCUGAACGACACAUGAAUAUUACAUCAGUUUUUUAAUACAAAACAUAUAUGUAACUAAGGUGAGGCUUUUUCAUAGCAUGAAUCAUUACCUCUGGGAAAAGGGGGGUGCCUUUGAGGAGGGCCAGUGAAGGGAUGAUAACAUAAUACAGUGUAGCGAGUGAGUUGGGUGCCCAUAGUCCGUAGAUAUGGUAGCCCAUCUGAUGUCGUAGCUUGGUUUUUCCAUGCCCAAACAAGAACACGUUGUACUUGGAAAGGAAAAUUGAUAAGUUGCCCUCGCUCCAUCGCUUAUGUUGCAAUAUUGUCUGAGCAAGUGUCGUUGGACCUACACCCAUAAACGCUGGUUUUUUAGGAUUGUUGUAGACCGACUCCCAUCCUCUGCAAUGUAUUGCCAAUCCGGUGAUUACAUCCUCCACCGCGCAACCAUAUUUUACCCCAAUCUCAUCUCCCCACUGUGUGCCAUGUUCAUAUGUGCAGGCUGCUAAAGACUUGGCUUUCUCUUCAGUCUCAUCUAUGCUCUCUUGUAAUUUGUCCUUGAUUCCUGCAUUCCAGUCUUCCUGGUAGUCUUUUGUGAACUUCCUGCCGCAAAGGAUCUCCCUUCUGUGGAAACAUCCGGUGCCAAUAUACAGAGGGCCACCCAAACUGUCCAUACCACCCAUCUCCACCUAUUAGAUUGAGUGGCCAUGUUAGUGCCAAUAAUAUAAUAUAAAUGGAGAACAUGAGAAUGUAAUUCAAGUUACAAUUUGGCACUGCUGACCUCAUUGAUGACAUGGAGGGAGUUCCCAUAUAUAUCAUUCUUGCUCAGAUUGUUAUAGUUCUGAGGGUACUGCACAAAUCCAAUCUUGUGACCCAUUUCUUCGUCAAGGAAGAAGCACAGUGCAUCUCUGACCGCAUCGUUGUUGUUGGAGUACAUAUCACAGUCCACAUUCAUGAUGAUAGGGCUGUUGCUUAUCACUGAUGAUACCCUUAUCUGCAUUUCAGCGGAAAAACUGACACAUUCUAGUUAAGUCCAUUAUGACAAAAGCAUUACAACCUUUCAUGGAAUAAAAUUGUCAUAUAAUUCCCUCAAAAAAAUUGUCAUCUAAACACCAAUUCCACUCCAGUAAGCUAAAUUGGUGUGGUGUCAAGCUACUCUCAGCCUCUCACUGUCUCUUGUUAGGCGGAGGGCAAAAGAAUGGGAUCAGUGUAUCACCAAGUGUUUUUAAGUAUCAGCAAGUGCAUACAUUGGGUUAUGUUAUUAGCUAACUUCUUUGUAGCUUCUGUACAUUCAAAACCCAAAAUUUAUAGAAAUCACAGUAGGGAAACCUACUGUCUUCCUAAAAAAAUUGGGUGUAUGCAUAUGGUUUGUGAUGACCGAUAUACGUUUGAAUGCAUGUAUUGACCAUUGUGUUUUGCAUGCACCCAUGAAUAUGGUGCGCAUUUUGGAUUUUACUCUAUGUCUUUGGUGUCACUAGAAGAUGAAUAGACAAUACCUACUCAAAUUGGUGUGUAUAUAAGCAUAGUCCAAUUGCAACUUGGAUUUCAAUGCUGUGCCGCAGACAUUGAUUUGUUGCAGGUGCUACUCGUAUGAAUGCAUACUACAACCAGCACACCUCAGGAACUUGAGCCAUGUGACAGGAGGUAUGUAGUCCUUGUGCUCUGUGUAGCUUUAUAGACAUACCGCAAGUGACUGAUGGGGCAUCAAUCAACUUUCCUAUUGAUUCUGGCACACAUCUCUUUGCAACACAUUCAGUGACAAUAAGCCCAGGGACUAUUUUCCUAUUGAGGAUUUCAGACUGUACCAACAUAUUUUAAGCAUACAUUCACUUCAUUUGUUUCACAAAAGGCUGAAGAAUCGAGCUUCUUGCAUUUUCUCAACUUUCAUUCUCUCAAAUGCUUGGGAAAUUUCUAUUGUGGACUAGUGGUACAAUGAGGUGAAACUGAAUGAAGAAAGCAGAGCACAACAUUUUGGUUACUCUUGUCCAAUAAUGCAGUUUAUCAAGAACUUCGAAAUUAUGAAUUAGAAUAUGGUGCAAGUGCAACUAGUAUUUCGCCAAGAACCAGUAUUAGAAAAAGAGUUUACUAAUGAAAAUUAUGAAUCUUAUAGUAAACUGUCUACUUGGCGUGACGGGGCAAGGUUAGUAAGUUUACCAGAGCAUUCAUGGCCCCAGCUUUGAAGUUAUGGUGGUGCUGAGGCCUCUUCUCACGCGCCAUGUAAACAAGUGUUGGUAGCGCAUUUCCUUCGUUAUCAACUGCAUUUUGGUCCUUGCCAUCUAUCAGAAUCUAACAAAAGUAACAAGCUUAGAACUUCAAACUCCCAGAUACAAUGUUAUUUACUCCAAAAUCAUGGAAACCUUUACUACAUUCUAGAGGGCAUGAUAGCUACCUGAACAAUUGGCUGGUGAUUUUUUGAGGUAAUUUCUUGGUUCCAUUCAUAAAAUCCUUUAUGCUUUGCAUUGAUUUCUUCAGGAAUUUUGCCCGACAUGACAGCCGUGUCUAUUCGCUCAGUCAUUUCGUCAAACAUGUCCUGCCCAAAAGAUGCAGAAAUAGUAUCAGUUGCCAUGCCACAUGUUGAGCACUAUAUAUAAUAACCUUGUCAUCACCAGUGUGUCAAUUCAUUCCCUGUUCGAUAGCCAUUUGAUGCACGUGUUUAAAAAAAAGGAGAUGUUUGCAAUAUCUGCUUACCUUGAUCAAUGACCAUUCUUUUGGGGUGCACAGUUCUUGAUGCCCAUCUGACUCUGAGAAGUAAGCGGCUGGUGACCUUGGCUCAAUGUUAUAUCUCUUGCAGAAUGGCAGCCAGUGCUUUGCAAACAAGGAGGCCUCCCACAUGCCAUAGAAAGUGAGAAUCGAGCCUC